Molecule: ribosomal RNA, 433 nt
Filed under: uncultured bacterium
Lineage: Bacteria
Description: partial 16S ribosomal RNA
Rfam family: Bacterial small subunit ribosomal RNA
Source: RNAcentral
AACGAACGCUGGCGGCAUGCCUAACACAUGCAAGUCGAACGAGAACUUCGGGCCUAGUGGCGCACGGGUGCGUACCGCGUGGGAACCUGCCCUUAGGUUCGGAAUAACUCCCCGAAAGGGGUCCUAAUACCGGAUAAUGUCUUCGGACCAAAGAUUUAUCGCCUGUGGAUGGGGCCGUGUUGGAUUGGCCAGUUGGUAGGGUAAAAGCCUGUCAAGGCGACGAUCCAUAGCUGGUCGGAGAGGAUGACCAGCCACACUGGGGCUAAGGCACGGGCCAGACUGCGACGCAGGGGAGCAGUAUGGAAUAUUGUACGAGGAGGGAAAGCCUGAUCCAGCAAUGCCGGGUGAGUGAGGAAGGGCGUAGGGUUGUAAAUCUCUUUUACCCGGGAUGAUAAUGACAGUACCGGGAGAAUAAGCACCGGCUAACUCCGUG